ACAAACUAGAGCUCGAAGAGAUCCAGAGACCCCCGCAGCCAAAAGCAACAAAGCCACCCACACGCACACUUGCUCACAUACAUAUGUCCAAAUUCAGCUCAAAAGCAUGUUGUUGCCGCUGGCAGCUCUCAACAGAAGAGUGAUUGAGUCACAUGAAGAUCAAAGAAAACUUUAUCUUGUGUCGGUCAAAGUGGAAGAAAAAAUGCUCUCAGAUGCUUAAACUUCUCAUUCUACAAAUUUGAGGAAAAGGACUUGUAAAUGUAUACAUUUAUUACCAUAAAAUACUUUUUUACUCUACAUUUUAAAUUCAUAUUUCCUUUUUUUAUCUUAAAAAUAAAAACGACUUCUCCCCCUCCUGCUUUUGAGAUCUCCUUCCAGAACCACUUCGCUCCCCUCCGCGAGACUGGACGCGACGCUGUGAUCAUCGGAGACUCCAUCGUCCGACACAUACCCGCGAUCCUGAAGGCCGACGAGAGCCCCAGAGCGGUCGUGCUUCACGCCGGGGUUAACGACACCACGCUGCGGCAGACGGAGACGCUGAAGGGGGACUUCAGCAGCCUGAUCGAGAUGGUUCGCAGCACGACGCCCGCGGCGAUGAUCGUCGUGUCAGGACCACUGCCCACGUAUCGACGAGGACACGAAAGGUUCAGUAGACUUUUUGCUUUAAAUGAAUGGUUGUUGUCAUGGUGUAAAGAACAGAAACUGCUAUUUGUUAAUAACUGGAAUCUUUUCUGGGAGCGUCCUAGACUGUUUCGCGCUGAUGGAUUACACCCCAGCAGAGUCGGAGCGGAGCUUCUCUCUGACAACAUCUCCAGGACACUUCGCUCCAUGUGACUAGAUUUACACAAGCUCCAGUCUGGAUCCAGAACACCUGAGAAGAGAUGAUGCUGACCCUCAGAGGACCUCAGAUGAUGCCAACCCUGAAUCAACAAACAGAACCAACAAUUAUUGCUAAAUGUGUGACUGAAUCAUAUAAUAACUUAAUUAAUAAUAUUGAUAGUUCAUCGUCUAGCUGACUACGUCUUGUAUUAUUAUUAUUAUUUUUAUUUUUUCUAAAAUCCUGUCAAAUGUGCACAAACUACUAGCUACUACUAAAUAUUGUAGAAACAUAAUUUUCUGUAAAGUUGCUUUGUAACGAUUUGUUUUGUAAAAAGCGCUAUACAAAUAAACUUGAAUUGAAUUGAAAAAAA
This is a long non-coding RNA of Carassius gibelio (silver crucian carp), 1190 nucleotides long. RefSeq lists it as uncharacterized. The transcript is spliced from 3 exons. NCBI's taxonomy places the organism in Eukaryota, Metazoa, Chordata, Actinopteri, Cypriniformes, Cyprinidae. The record is from RefSeq and is a predicted model, not a curated record.